Molecule: ribosomal RNA, 1505 nt
Filed under: Lactiplantibacillus pentosus
Lineage: Bacteria; Bacillati; Bacillota; Bacilli; Lactobacillales; Lactobacillaceae
Description: bacterial SSU rRNA
Rfam family: Bacterial small subunit ribosomal RNA
Source: RNAcentral
GGACGAACGCUGGCGGCGUGCCUAAUACAUGCAAGUCGAACGAACUCUGGUAUUGAUUGGUGCUUGCAUCAUGAUUUACAUUUGAGUGAGUGGCGAACUGGUGAGUAACACGUGGGAAACCUGCCCAGAAGCGGGGGAUAACACCUGGAAACAGAUGCUAAUACCGCAUAACAACUUGGACCGCAUGGUCCGAGUUUGAAAGAUGGCUUCGGCUAUCACUUUUGGAUGGUCCCGCGGCGUAUUAGCUAGAUGGUGGGGUAACGGCUCACCAUGGCAAUGAUACGUAGCCGACCUGAGAGGGUAAUCGGCCACAUUGGGACUGAGACACGGCCCAAACUCCUACGGGAGGCAGCAGUAGGGAAUCUUCCACAAUGGACGAAAGUCUGAUGGAGCAACGCCGCGUGAGUGAAGAAGGGUUUCGGCUCGUAAAACUCUGUUGUUAAAGAAGAACAUAUCUGAGAGUAACUGUUCAGGUAUUGACGGUAUUUAACCAGAAAGCCACGGCUAACUACGUGCCAGCAGCCGCGGUAAUACGUAGGUGGCAAGCGUUGUCCGGAUUUAUUGGGCGUAAAGCGAGCGCAGGCGGUUUUUUAAGUCUGAUGUGAAAGCCUUCGGCUCAACCGAAGAAGUGCAUCGGAAACUGGGAAACUUGAGUGCAGAAGAGGACAGUGGAACUCCAUGUGUAGCGGUGAAAUGCGUAGAUAUAUGGAAGAACACCAGUGGCGAAGGCGGCUGUCUGGUCUGUAACUGACGCUGAGGCUCGAAAGUAUGGGUAGCAAACAGGAUUAGAUACCCUGGUAGUCCAUACCGUAAACGAUGAAUGCUAAGUGUUGGAGGGUUUCCGCCCUUCAGUGCUGCAGCUAACGCAUUAAGCAUUCCGCCUGGGGAGUACGGCCGCAAGGCUGAAACUCAAAGGAAUUGACGGGGGCCCGCACAAGCGGUGGAGCAUGUGGUUUAAUUCGAAGCUACGCGAAGAACCUUACCAGGUCUUGACAUACUAUGCAAAUCUAAGAGAUUAGACGUUCCCUUCGGGGACAUGGAUACAGGUGGUGCAUGGUUGUCGUCAGCUCGUGUCGUGAGAUGUUGGGUUAAGUCCCGCAACGAGCGCAACCCUUAUUAUCAGUUGCCAGCAUUAAGUUGGGCACUCUGGUGAGACUGCCGGUGACAAACCGGAGGAAGGUGGGGAUGACGUCAAAUCAUCAUGCCCCUUAUGACCUGGGCUACACACGUGCUACAAUGGAUGGUACAACGAGUUGCGAACUCGCGAGAGUAAGCUAAUCUCUUAAAGCCAUUCUCAGUUCGGAUUGUAGGCUGCAACUCGCCUACAUGAAGUCGGAAUCGCUAGUAAUCGCGGAUCAGCAUGCCGCGGUGAAUACGUUCCCGGGCCUUGUACACACCGCCCGUCACACCAUGAGAGUUUGUAACACCCAAAGUCGGUGGGGUAACCUUUUAGGAACCAGCCGCCUAAGGUGGGACAGAUGAUUAGGGUGAAGUCUACAAGGGGG